RNA transcript from Cylas formicarius (sweet potato weevil), 4062 nucleotides. RefSeq lists it as uncharacterized. The record is from RefSeq and is a predicted model, not a curated record. NCBI's taxonomy places the organism in Eukaryota, Metazoa, Arthropoda, Insecta, Coleoptera, Brentidae. The transcript has 14 exons.
UGAUCGAAUUCGCGAAAAAAACAAUGAUAAUUUGUGGAGUUUGGAGGCUGGAAAUGAAAAGCUUAUCCAGAUUUCAAAAAAUAUUAUAUUCCAUACAUUCCGUUAUUAUUCAAACAAUUAACAUGAUUAUUCCGAUACUUCUGACUGCUAAUUUACCCGUUCUUUUUAAAGAAGACAUAUCUGGAGCAUUUCAGGCACUCUCUAUGAUUCUAUUUUGCAUCCUAGCAAACUUGAAAGGAAUUAUGUGUCAGUCGAAAUGUUUUUUGAAGCUACAGAAAAUUGUGUUGGAACAUGAAACGAUACUUCUAGAAGGAAAAGAUGAAGAUGUGCAUAAAAUAUACACAACACAUGUUCAUUACAGUAAGAAACUUUCGAAGUUCUUUCUACUAGCAGGUGCUUUGGCAGCAUCAGUUCUGUUCGAAAUGGGUUGCUUAGAUAGCUACAAAGUUCACAAAAUGCAAAAACACACGAACGUGUCAUUAGAGAAACCUUUACCGCUUAAAUUAUGGUAUCCUUGGGACAAAAAUAAAUACCACAUCUUUUUGAUGUUGAGCCAGUUCGUUGAGAUAGCUGUAUCAGCCUUUUAUGUAGCGGUGGCACAAAUAUUUACUACAACGCUGCUAACGUUCUUAAGGGCAAAGCUUAAAAUAUUGCAGCACCAAUUUAGAAAUUUUGGUUUACAUUUGAACCAUUUUGACGAAGUGGAAACUAUUCAAAAAUUAUGCUUCAAACACCAAACAUUAAUUCAAAUAAUAAAAUCUGUUAAUGACGUGAUGAGAAAUAUUAUCUUCUUCGAAUUUAGUAUGUCAUCAGUGAUGUUUGCAGCAGGAAUUUUCCAAGUUAUAGCGAAGCAGGAUCUGCUUUUUAAUAUUGAAUUUUCCGUUUCGAUGAUCAGUUUUUUGAUGCUUCUCGCUUGGAAUGCCAACGAAAUUAGGACGGAGAGUUCCCAGUUAGCAAUGGCACUUUAUGAGAGUAGAUGGUAUGAACAAACUCACCAAACAAAAGUCAUUAUGCAAUUCAUGCUGAUGAGAUGUCAGAAACCUUUAAGCAUAAAUAUUGGCCCACUAGGUCCAAUAACAGUAGAUGCCGCCAUGUCUUUCACAAAAAAAACAAUGAUAAUUUGUGGUAUUUGGAGGCUGAAAAUAAAAAGCUGGUCUACAUUUCAAAAUAUAUUGUAUUUUAUUUAUUCAGUUAUAUUUCAAAUAACUAACAUGAUGAUUCCGACGCUUCUGGCUGCUAAUUUACCUGUUCUUUUCAAGACUGACGUUUCCGGAGCAUUUCAGGCGAUCUCGAUGAUUUUAUUUGGCACCAUGGCAAACAUGAAAGGAAUUAUGUGCCAGUCCAAAGAUUUUUUGAAGCUACAAACGAUGUUUAUGGAAGACGAAGCUAUGCUUUUAUCAGGAAAUGACCAGGAAGCCAAUAAAAUAUACACAAAACACAUUAUAUACAGUAAAAAACUUUCCAAGUUUUUUUUAUUAGCUGGAGGUUUGGCGGCAUCGUUUCUAAUAGAAACGGGAUGCGAAAAUAGUUACAAAGUUCACAAACUGGGAAAGCGAGUAAACGUAUCACUGGAGAGCCCUUUGCCGCUUAAAUUAUGGUAUCCCUGGGACAAAAAUAGGUACCACAUUUUGACUCUCAUGAGUCAACUUCUUGACAUCGCUGUGACAGCCUUUUAUGUAGCCGUAGUACAAAUAUUUACUACGACAAUACUUAUUUUCCUAAGAGCAAAGCUUAAAAUAAUGGAGCACCAGUUUCGAAAUUUUGGUACGAGCUACAUUAAUCGCGACAUUAUGACGAAUGGAGUAGAUACAGUACGAAGGUUAUGCGUAAAACAUCAAAGACUAAUUGAAUUAAUAAAUUCUGUCAAUGAGGUGCUGAGAAGUAUUAUUUUCUUCGAAUUCAGUAUGUCAUCACUGAUGUUUGCGUCGGGAAUAUUGCAAAUUUUAGCGAGGCAGGAUCUUCUUUUUAAUAUUGAAUUCUCUAUUUCGAUGAUUAGCUUUUUGAUGCUUCUCGCCUGGAAUGCUAACCAAAUUAGGACGGAGAGUUCCAAGUUAGCAACGGCUCUUUAUGAAAGUCGAUGGUAUGAACAAACACCGCAAACAAAAAUCAUUAUGCAAUUCAUGCUAAUGAGAUGUCAAAGGCCUUUAAGUAUCAAUAUUGGACCGUUCGGUCCAAUCACACUGGACGCUGCCAUCUCUCGAUUUAAACUGGCCUAUUCGUAUAGCACAAUUAUGUCAGGUGAUAAUUAGAACAUUUCUUGAUCCCUUAAGAUGUUAAUGUUUUAUUUAAUAUUAGUAAUAAACUUUGUACGUAUAUUUGAUGUUUUAUCACUACACUGCAGCAGUUCCUAAACAUUACAUAAAAAUGAACAAUAACAAUUUCCAAUAUGUUAUUUCAAUUUAAUAUUCAAUUUUUUUUUAAGAAUUGUCCUGAACAAUAUUGAUAUCUAUUGAUUGAUAUCAGUAUGCAUUGAAAAUAUUUUUAAAACGAAACUCAACUUUUUGCGCAAAGAUAGAUGAUACAAACGUUUUUAUUAGGUAGCUAUUAGAAUUAAAAUUAAAAUUGUUAAAAAACAAACGAUUCUGAGAAUUAUUACCAUGGCAAGCGGAAUAUUGUUUGUUCAAGUUAACUAUAAAUUUGCUUUACGUUUUAUAUCCCAAAAUGGCAAUUCGAUUUAUUCGACAUUUAUUUUUGGCGAGAAGACAGAAAUAGAGAAAAAUUAGACCCCGUGCUUUUUUAAUCAUUUUCGGGUUAUAAGUUACCUUUUUAAAAUAUUUUUGAAUCCUAUUACAUAAACAUUUUCCAGAGUGUCUCAUUCAUAGUUCAUAUUCUUGCAUUACAAAAACCCAAUAAUUACUCCAAUUAAACUUUAUAAAAACUAUUAAAUAGUGCGCUUUUGAAUUUUAAUUAGGAACACCUUAUUUUGUAAUAUUUUGGAGAAAAAAUUAGUUCAAUGAAAAUCGGCGAUCAUUUAAUCAAAUUACUUUUGCUUAAAUUGCUUCUUUAUUUCCUAUGUUAUUCAUAUCAAAUAUCAAUAUUUUCAAACAAAUAAUGCUCCACUCUUUUAAUAACAAAAAAGGUUACAAAUAAAAUUUAAUAACCUUAUAAUUGGCAAAAAACGAGGAAGGAAACAAAACCAAUAUACGAAUUUUCUUUGUUCUUCUUUAAUUCAUUAAUUAAACCGCACUAAAACAAAAGUUUCUAAACUUACGCGAUUCCGAAACCGUUGAUUUCCAUCUAAAGCUCUAAAGACAUAUGUUAAAUAAUUUAUUUCAAAAAACCGAUAAAAUACAUAUAUGACUCACAAUAGUUUCUUUUCAUGUGGAUAAGUACAUGCUCGAUAUGCAGACUUAUAAAUAAUAUAAAUAAAACAUCAAAGAAACCAGUGGCGGUACAUACCGAUUACAUGGCUCCUCUCUUUAGAAGCUCCUUAUUCUAUGUGAAUGUGGGGUUUCGUAAAAUGAAAAAACACCAUUCCCACAAUUUGCUAAACCGUAUUGUAGCAUUUAGUAUUCGAUUUAGUCAUUUUAAUACAUGGUAAAAAGCGCUGCAUGGGAAACAGUCAAGAAUUCAUCGUUUUGUUAGUUUUGGUUAGUUUGUUUUAGUCCGUUUAAAAGAAGAGAUUACUCCAGAAAGAAAAUUAAACGGAUAGGGAAUUGACCAAGCUGUUAACGCCACUGAGUAGCGGAUAUUCAUACAAUAUUUUGCGGUCGCACAUUUGCACCACCUAUAAGAUACCGACUACAAUAUACAAACGAAUAUGUUUCAGUUGACAAAAAAAACAAUGAUAGUUUGUGGUAUUUGAAGGUUGGAAAAAAAAAGUUUGUCUACUUUUCAAACUAUAUUGUAUUCUAUAUAUUCUGUUAUAGUUCAAAUAAUUAACUUGAUGAUUUCGACCCUACUGGCUGCUAAUUUACCCAGUCUUUUUAAAACUGAUAUUUUUGGAGGCGAUCUCGAUGAUUUUAUUUGGCACCAUGGCAAACAUGAAAGGAAUUAUGUGCCAGUCCACAUAUUUCUUGAGACUACAAAGGAUUUUCAUGGAAGACGAAGCAAUGAUUUUAU